AAAAGAAAAAUGUGGGGUUCUUUAUUCCAGAAGUGGCUCCGAGGGAGCGUGCGGCUUAGUGUGGUCUUUGUCAGCUUCCACCAUGGUGUACCGUGGCCAGGGCCAAAAGGUGCAGAAGGUGAUGGUGCAGCCCAUCAACCUCAUCUUCAGAUACUUGCAAAAUAGAUCUCGGAUUCAGGUGUGGCUUUAUGAGCAAGUGAAUAUGCGGAUAGAAGGCUGUAUCAUUGGUUUUGAUGAGUAUAUGAACCUCGUAUUAGAUGAUGCAGAAGAGAUUCAUUCGAAAACAAAGUCAAGAAAACAACUAGGCCGGAUCAUGCUGAAAGGAGAUAAUAUUACUCUGCUCCAAAGUGUCUCCACCUAGAAAUGACUUAAUGAAGUGAGGAAUUACUGAGAAGCAAUACAGUUUGUGUUUUUUGUG
Myotis lucifugus (little brown bat) is the source of this 418-nucleotide RNA transcript. It is a transcript of the gene named small nuclear ribonucleoprotein E pseudogene, with no coding region annotated. The record is from RefSeq and is a predicted model, not a curated record. The transcript has a single exon. NCBI's taxonomy places the organism in Eukaryota, Metazoa, Chordata, Mammalia, Chiroptera, Vespertilionidae.